AUUGAACGCUGGCGGCAUGCCUUACACAUGCAAGUCGAACGGCAGCGGGGACUUCGGUCCGCCGGCGAGUGGCGAACGGGUGAGUAAUGUAUCGGAACGUACCAUUGAGUGGGGGAAAACGUAGCGAAAGCUACGAUAAUACCGCAUAUUCACUCCGGUGGACAGCAGGGGACCGCACGGCCUUGCGCUCUUUGAGCGGCCGAUAUCAGAUUAGCUAGGCGGUGGGGUAAAAGCUCACCAAGGCGACGAACUGAAGCGGGUAUGAGAGGAUGGUCCGCCACACUGGAACUGAGAAACGGUCCAGACUCCGACGGGAGGAAGCAGUGGGGAAUUUUGGGCAAUGGGGGCAACCCUGAUCCGGCAAUGCCGCGUGUGUGAAGAAGGCCUUCGGGUUGUAAAGCACUUUAGUUGGGGAAGAAGGUGUAUCGUUUAAGGGAUGAUACAUUUGACUGUACCCAAAGAAUAAGCACCGGCUAACUCUGUGCCAGCAGCCGCCGUAA
Molecule: ribosomal RNA, 500 nt
Filed under: uncultured bacterium
Lineage: Bacteria
Description: partial 16S ribosomal RNA
Rfam family: Bacterial small subunit ribosomal RNA
Source: RNAcentral